This 759-nucleotide ribosomal RNA is filed under the name uncultured bacterium. Its description in RNAcentral is "bacterial SSU rRNA". It matches the Rfam family "Bacterial small subunit ribosomal RNA", at positions 57 to 809 of the family's 1533-position model. The record is from RNAcentral.
GCAGUCGACGGCAGCACGGGAGCAAUCCUGGUGGCGAGUGGCGAACGGGUGAGUAAUAUAUCGGAACGUGCCCAGUCGUGGGGGAUAGCGCAGCGAAAGCUGUGCUAAUACCGCAUACGAUCUCUGGAUGAAAACGGGGGACUCAGCAAUGAGCCUCGCGCGAUUGGAGCGGCCGAUAUCAGAUUAGCUAGUUGGUGAGGUAAAAGCCUACCAAGGCGACGAUCUGUAGCUGGUCUGAGAGGACGACCAGCCACACUGGAACUGAGACACGGUCCAGACUCCUACGGGAGGCAGCAGUGGGGAAUUUUGGACAAUGGGCGAAAGCCUGAUCCAGCAAUGCCGCGUGCAGGAUGAAGGCCUUCGGGUUGUAAACUGCUUUUGUACGGAACGAAACGGUUCGCCUUAAUACGGUGGGCUAAUGACGGUACCGUAAGAAUAAGCACCGGCUAACUACGUGCCAGCAGCCGCGGUAAUACGUAGGGUGCGAGCGUUAAUCGGAAUUACUGGGCGUAAAGCGUGCGCAGGCGGUUAUAUAAGGCAGAUGUGAAAUCCCCGGGCUCAACCUGGGACCUGCAUUUGUGACUGUAUAGCUAGAGUACGGUAGAGGGGGAUGGAAUUCCGCGUGUAGCAGCGAAAUGCGUAGAUAUGCGGAGGAACACCGAUGGCGAAGGCAAUCCCCUGGACCUGUACUGACGCUCAUGCACGAAAGCGUGGGGAGCAAACAGGAUUAGAUACCCUGGUAGAAUCACUAGUGAAUUC